ACGUAGGGUGCGAGCGUUAAUCGGAAUUACUGGGCGUAAAGCGUGCGCAGGCGGUUCGCUAAGACAGGUGUGAAAUCCCCGGGCUUAACCUGGGAACGGCACUUGUGACUGGCAGGCUAGAGUACUGCAGAGGGGGGUAGAAUUUCAGGUGUAGCAGUGAAAUGCGUAGAGAUGUGGAGGAAUACCGAUGGCGAAGGCAGCCCCCUGGGCAGAUACUGACACUCA
RNAcentral lists this ribosomal RNA (225 nucleotides) under uncultured prokaryote. RNAcentral's name for it is "partial 16S ribosomal RNA". It matches the Rfam family "Bacterial small subunit ribosomal RNA", at positions 525 to 749 of the family's 1533-position model. The record is from RNAcentral.